RNAcentral lists this ribosomal RNA (467 nucleotides) under uncultured bacterium. RNAcentral's name for it is "partial 16S ribosomal RNA". It matches the Rfam family "Bacterial small subunit ribosomal RNA", at positions 29 to 507 of the family's 1533-position model. The record is from RNAcentral.
ACGAACGCUGGCGGCGCGCCUAACCCCUGCAAGUCGCACGGAGCUGAGAGAAGCUUGCUUUUCUUAGCUUAGUGGCGAACGGGUGAGUAACGCGUGAGUAACCUGCCCUGGAGUGGGGGACAACAGUUGGAAACGACUGCUAAUACCGCAUAAGCCCACGAUCCGGCAUCGGAUUGAGGGAAAAGGAUUUAUUCGCUUCAGGAUGGACUCGCGUCCAAUUAGCUAGUUGGUGAGGUAACGGCCCACCAAGGCGACGAUUGGUAGCCGGACUGAGAGGUUGAACGGCCACAUUGGGACUGAGACACGGCCCAGACUCCUACGGGAGGCAGCAGUGGGGGAUAUUGCACAAUGGGGGAAACCCUGAUGCAGCGACGCCGCGUGGAGGAAGAAGGUUUUCGGAUUGUAAACUCCUGUCGUUAGGGACGAUAAUGACGGUACCUAACAAGAAAGCACCGGCUAACUACGUG